RNAcentral lists this small nuclear RNA (65 nucleotides) under Sorex araneus (European shrew). The record is from RNAcentral. Lineage: Eukaryota; Metazoa; Chordata; Mammalia; Eulipotyphla; Soricidae.
GUGCUAUCGCUCCAGCCCCCAUAUACUAAAAUUGGAAUGAUACAGAGAAGAUUAGCAUGGCCACU